ACAGUGGAACUUGUCUGUUUGGUUCAGACACAGACAUUUGGAGCAAAACUCCCAAUUACAGUACAGUGGCGCUGGGAGCUACAUCUUUUCAUUGCUCAUCUUUCCCCCCUUGAAAUAAAUGGAAAUGCCAUUCAUCCGUUCAAUUUGCGUUUUUGUUCUUUAAUAAUCACUAUAACAUGGUACGUUAUAGGAGCAGAGUACUAACUUCAUUAGAUACAAUGUAAAGCAUGAAACACUUUGUGAAUCUAAUUCCAUGCUGCAAUCCAAUGAACUGUGCUGCUCCUUCUGUUGCCACCGGGAGGCAGUAGCUACUGUAUAAAACAGUCCUGAAGACACCAACCAAGAAAAGACUACUACCUCUACGGAUCAGCGCGUUGCCGGAAUAUUAGAGAUUUUUCGUAGAGGAUAAAUAAUUGAUGCCUCGGGACCUGUGGGUGAGGAGCGCGAAUGAAGACCACCCCCACCAAAGACAAAAUCUGCAAGACAUCGCGAAUAAUGUACGAUAAAUGCGGUGAAGCCGCAAAAGGUGAACUGCGAUAUAGCGAGGGACGAAUGGACGGAAGAAGAUGGCAAGACUGCCUGCUGGCGUAGUAAAGGGAUUGACUGCAACUAAUCCACCAUCAUCAUCUGGUUUGUGGAAGACAUUUUCUCACAGAGAGCCAAAAUGGGAAUUGCCGUUGCCAAAGGAAUGGCUAAAAGCUCAAAUGAAAAGGUUUUGAGUGGUCCACCCAACUCUUCAUUCUGACAACCUCAUCACUCACCGAGACAGGCCGAGCCAUCGGGAGCAACUUCAUGUCCCACGGGGCACACGCACUGGAAGCUGCCUUCGUUGUUGACGCAGUCGCCUCCCCGGCACAGCAGAGGAUUGCGUUCGCACUCAUCGAUGUCUGAUGGGGAAGAAGAAACACUUGGCAAUGCUGUACAUGUGAAAAAACCUGUCUGACUUGAUGUGACCUUAGUGACUAGGAAUGACUUAUUCAAAUAAAGUCAUUCAUUAAAGGAGGCAUAAAUCAUGAUCUGGCUUCCUUUGUGAACUCAACCUUUUUUUUUUUCCUACUGUGUUGCCAAUCGUGGGCUUACAUCCUAAGCCAACAAAAGCACUAACGCUCACCAUUUUGUGAGCACUCAAGAAUUUUAAUCAGGUUGGCCAAAUGUAAUUCAGAACAGAAAUAGAGCAAUAAGUAUUUUCUCAGAUGCUAAGACUGGAAGCUGUACGUUAAUUCAUUUUUAUGGCAGGGUCCGUGUGCAUUAUUAUGCAUUGAGUUCAAGUAUGUAAUAAAGGGCAAUUAUCUUUAUGGUGCCAUGAAAAAAACGAUUGACUGAUGGGCUGCGCAGGCUGUGUGCCGCACGGAGGUUUACAUUAAGAUUACAUCAGCCAAAAAAAAAAAAAAAAAAAAAAGAUUACAUCAGCUAUAUAAACAGUAAGUUCCAGGUCUGACAUGUUAGUAGAGCAUGAACAUACCACGAGGCAAACACGGGCAAAAAGAUUUCCAGGUGCCCCAAACGUCUCAUUAAAAGCUGAUGAAUAAAGUUUUCUUCAAUUGAAAGCAUUUCAAGCAAAGUCGCACGCCUUAAAACACAAAAUUCUAAAUCUAUCAUGAUCGUUUCGAGGAGUCUCCUCUGACUUCUCAUGCAAUGGACUAUUCCAUCUUUUUGCUGCACAUGAGCGGAGUUAUCCCAGUGGCGCGGCGGUGAAGAGGAGCAUGCGAGAUGACCACAAACAGUCCUUAUCAAAACCACCAAAGGCUUCAACUUUUUCAUGCUGACACCAAACGUGCAUAACCGACAACAGCAAGCGCCAGACGCUCUUUCCGGUUCCAGCAGCACAGCAUUCAGCAGAGAUGUAGAAGAGAGUGACAC
Long non-coding RNA from Phyllopteryx taeniolatus (common seadragon), 1860 nucleotides. RefSeq lists it as uncharacterized. The transcript is spliced from 3 exons. NCBI's taxonomy places the organism in Eukaryota, Metazoa, Chordata, Actinopteri, Syngnathiformes, Syngnathidae. The record is from RefSeq and is a predicted model, not a curated record.